ACCUUCGGGGUGUAGCGGUAGGUACACUCGACUCGUAUUCGAGAGGUCCGUGGUUCGAGUCCCGGCGACAGCA
Molecule: transfer RNA, 73 nt
Filed under: Stegodyphus mimosarum
Lineage: Eukaryota; Metazoa; Arthropoda; Arachnida; Araneae; Eresidae
Rfam family: tRNA
About the family: Transfer RNA (tRNA) molecules are approximately 80 nucleotides in length. Their secondary structure includes four short double-helical elements and three loops (D, anti-codon, and T loops).
Source: Rfam by way of RNAcentral